Molecule: ribosomal RNA, 373 nt
Filed under: Trichomonas gallinae
Lineage: Eukaryota; Parabasalia; Trichomonadida; Trichomonadidae
Description: partial 18S ribosomal RNA
Rfam family: 5.8S ribosomal RNA (bases 114-269)
Source: RNAcentral
UCGGUAGGUGAACCUGCCGUUGGAUCAGUUCUAGUUUUAAUAACUAAUACCUACUUCUUUUAUUUAAACUCAAAACAAUACAAAUAAUAAAAACUAACUUCAUCAAAACUCAAGUCUCUAGGCAAUGGAUGUCUUGGCUCCUCACACGAUGAAGAACGUGGCAUAAUGUGUUAAGUAACCGGAGUUGCAAACAUCAUGACAGGUUAAUCUUUGAAUGCAAAUUGCGCCCUUCCGGUUUCGGCCGUGUGGGCAUGGAUGCAACAGUACUACAUAAUUUAUAAUAAUUCUUAUUCUAUGCGAAUAAGUAAAUAAAUUAUAAAACAAACUAUACGUAGUCUGCUGCAUGCAGGAAGACCCGCUGAAACUGAAGCAA